UAAUACAUGCAAGUCGAGCGAACAGACGAGGAGCUUGCUCCUCUGACGUUAGCGGCGGACGGGUGAGUAACACGUGGAUAACCUACCUAUAAGACUGGGAUAACUUCGGGAAACCGGAGCUAAUACCGGAUAAUAUAUUGAACCGCAUGGUUCAAUAGUGAAAGACGGUUUUGCUGUCACUUAUAGAUGGAUCCGCGCCGCAUUAGCUAGUUGGUAAGGUAACGGCUUACCAAGGCAACGAUGCGUAGCCGACCUGAGAGGGUGAUCGGCCACACUGGAACUGAGACACGGUCCAGACUCCUACGGGAGGCAGCAGUAGGGAAUCUUCCGCAAUGGGCGAAAGCCUGACGGAGCAACGCCGCGUGAGUGAUGAAGGUCUUCGGAUCGUAAAACUCUGUUAUUAGGGAAGAACAAAUGUGUAAGUAACUAUGCACGUCUUGACGGUACCUAAUCAGAAAGCCACGGCUAACUACGUGCCAGCAGCCGCGGUAAUACGUAGGUGGCAAGCGUUAUCCGGAAUUAUAUGGGCGUAAAGCGCGCGUAGGCGGUUUUUUAAGUCUGAUGUGAAAGCCCACGGCUCAACCGUGGAGGGUCAUUGGAAACUGGAAAACUUGAGUGCAGAAGAGGAAAGUGGAAUUCCAUGUGUAGCGGUGAAAUGCGCAGAGAUAUGGAGGAACACCAGUGGCGAAGGCGACUUUCUGGUCUGUAACUGACGCUGAUGUGCGAAAGCGUGGGGAUCAAACAGGAUUAGAUACCCUGGUAGUCCACGCCGUAAACGAUGAGUGCUAAGUGUUAGGGGGUUUCCGCCCCUUAGUGCUGCAGCUAACGCAUUAAGCACUCCGCCUGGGGAGUACGACCGCAAGGUUGAAACUCAAAGGAAUUGACGGGGACCCGCACAAGCGGUGGAGCAUGUGGUUUAAUUCGAAGCAACGCGAAGAACCUUACCAAAUCUUGACAUCCUCUGACCCCUCUAGAGAUAGAGUUUUCCCCUUCGGGGGACAGAGUGACAGGUGGUGCAUGGUUGUCGUCAGCUCGUGUCGUGAGAUGUUGGGUUAAGUCCCGCAACGAGCGCAACCCUUAAGCUUAGUUGCCAUCAUUAAGUUGGGCACUCUAAGUUGACUGCCGGUGACAAACCGGAGGAAGGUGGGGAUGACGUCAAAUCAUCAUGCCCCUUAUGAUUUGGGCUACACACGUGCUACAAUGGACAAUACAAAGGGCAGCGAAACCGCGAGGUCAAGCAAA
Molecule: ribosomal RNA, 1242 nt
Filed under: Staphylococcus sp.
Lineage: Bacteria; Bacillati; Bacillota; Bacilli; Caryophanales; Staphylococcaceae
Description: bacterial SSU rRNA
Rfam family: Bacterial small subunit ribosomal RNA
Source: RNAcentral